GACGAACGCUGGCGGCGUGCUUAACACAUGCAAGUCGAACGAAGAGCGAUGGAAGCUUGCUUCUAUCAAUCUUAGUGGCGAGCGGGUGAGUAACGCGUAAUCAACCUGCCCUUCAGAGGGGGACAACAGUUGGAAACGACUGCUAAUACCGCAUACGAUCUAAACUCGGCAUCGAGGAUAGAUGAAAGGUGGCCUCUACAUGUAAGCUAUCACUGAAGGAGGGGAUUGCGUCUGAUUAGCUAGUUGGAGGGGUAACGGCCCACCAAGGCGAUGAUCAGUAGCCGGUCUGAGAGGAUGAACGGCCACAUUGGGACUGAGACACGGCCCAGACUCCUACGGGAGGCAGCAGUGGGGAAUCUUCCGCAAUGGACGAAAGUCUGACGGAGCAACGCCGCGUGAGUGAUGACGGCCUUCGGGUUGUAGAGCUCUGUUAAUCGGGACGAAAGGCCUUCUUGCGAAUAGUGAGAAGGAUUGACGGUACCGGAAUAGAAAGCCACGGCUAACUACGUG
This 510-nucleotide ribosomal RNA is filed under the name uncultured bacterium. RNAcentral describes it as "partial 16S ribosomal RNA". It matches the Rfam family "Bacterial small subunit ribosomal RNA", at positions 28 to 507 of the family's 1533-position model. The record is from RNAcentral.